This is a long non-coding RNA of Mercurialis annua (annual mercury), 1278 nucleotides long. RefSeq lists it as uncharacterized. The transcript is spliced from 2 exons. NCBI's taxonomy places the organism in Eukaryota, Viridiplantae, Streptophyta, Magnoliopsida, Malpighiales, Euphorbiaceae. The record is from RefSeq and is a predicted model, not a curated record.
CCUGCUCUAAUCAAAACACAGAGAACAUCUUACAUUAACCAGAAUAUAUAUAGUAAGUAAGUUUGUAUACACAGUUACUACAAAUUUCGUAUAUAUAAUUUAUUAAUUUCAUAUAAUAAUAAGAAUUAUAUUCAUUUGAAAUACAGAUCUGAAAAGCAGAUCAGUUGUAGCAUGAUUUUUUAAACGGGAAGAAGCUUUGCAAGAGCAUUAACCCCGAUGAGGCUGUUGCGUAUAGUGCUUCUGUCCAGGCUGCAAUCUUAAGUGGUGAGGGUAAUGAGAAGGUGCAAGAACUCUCCGGCUUUUUUGAUAAACGUAGCAAUUACCACAAAGAAGAACAAGUGUUCUCGACUUACUCCAAGAAAAUUCAAGAAGGGCAACGGGUGAGGCGGCGGCGGCGGCGGUGCGAUCAGAUCUACUGGAGAGAAAGAACUCGACGUUGCUUCUUGGGAGAAAGAUGCGACCGGCUUUGUUGCUCUGCUUAACGGAGUUACUGGUUUGAAGAGAUGCGGCGGCGGCGGCGGCGGCUAAGAAACCCUAAAUGGAGAGAAGAGAAAGAAACAAAUAAUUACUCUUUCAUCUUUUUUUAAACGGUUUUGCUUUUUUCAUAUACAAGCAUAGCAGUUAUUUAUUUUAGGAAUUUUAAGUUAAUAAGUAACCUUAUCUGAAUUCAAAAAAAAAAGUAACCUUAUCUUUUCCUCUAUAAUUGUAAUUAAAAAACAAAACGUUUUAUUUCUGUAAUAUACGAAACUUAAAAUGUAAAUACAAUUCAAAUAUUGUAUUACUGUAAUUAUUUUAUAUUUUCUUUGUUUUGGGUGUAACUCAUGAGUAGCGAAGCCCGACUCUACGUCCCACAUAACAGAAAAGCUCGAAAUUUUUUACUUUGUAAUAUCCCAUGGUUCAUUUUUUUUUCUUUUUUACCACUUCACAACGGAGAUAUAAUUGAUUUUGUCAAUCAAAUUCAGUUCUAUAAACAACCAAUUUGUUGUUUUGAGAAAAAUGGCCUUCAUUCAAUUUGUGAAAGAGUUAAUUGAAUUGUUAGGUUAAUUUUUGGUGCAAGUUAAAGAAAAGAUUUGAUUCGGUAACAUCAGCUUCAAUCUCCUCAACUAUUUCAUCAAUCUUGCGGAACUGAUAACUCCAUCUUGUGUUAUACAGAAUCUGGCGAAGAUCGCACCGAUUAUCAUCAGGUGAGUAACUCUGCAUGCAUUUGGAUAAGCUAUAAGUUUCUUGAAUAAUACAAUUGCAAAGUUAUUUUUGAUAAUUGAAAUUGAAUUUACCUCA